Molecule: long non-coding RNA, 2912 nt
Filed under: Medicago truncatula (barrel medic)
Lineage: Eukaryota; Viridiplantae; Streptophyta; Magnoliopsida; Fabales; Fabaceae
Description: lncRNA gene23493
Source: RNAcentral
UACUACAUCACAUAACAUCACCAUAAAUAAAAACUCAAUUUUAUAACUCGAAAUAACAUAUUUUGGCUUCUUUGAGGCUUACAUUUUUCUUAUAAUAAAAUAAGUAAAUACUAGAUUAUUAACAUCGGCCGUGAUCUCAUAGUAUCACAACCUACAAUCCGUUUUAAAGAUAAACAACAAUCAAACAAACAUUCAAGAAAAACAUAACAUGGGUUAGAGAAUAAUUCUCCACUUUACUCUUAUGAACAAACAUCUUGGAAUUACAUGUAGCGAGAAGGCUCUGCAUACAACAUAUAAAAGAGAAAAACAUAGAGAAAAUAAGGUGUUAGAUAUAUUACAUGAGACUUAAAGUUGUACAGCAAUUGAAAUACAUGGAAACAAACAUAAAUCUACAUUUAUAACUCAAAACCAUCUACUGUAUAUAUAUAUAUAUAUAUAGACACGCACACACAUAUAUAUAUAGCAAAUGCAAUACCCGUGCACCUCUACUCCAUAUUUAUGAUACACUAAGGUACCGUUUGACCAGGCUUUUUUCCGGUCUAAAAGCUACUUUGAAUCAAAGUUAAAAUAAAGGUUUUUAAGAAAGAAGUUAAAGUUGUUUAGUUUCUUUAUUUUUUUUAGUUUUAAAACUAUUUUUAAGUUAAAAGUUGUUUGGAAAAAUAUUGUAAAUACUUUGAAUUUAUUAUUUUUUGGUGGUGUUCGGGAUUCAAACCCCGGACAGACAUAAAAUAUUACUUUAAACGUUAAUGUGUGUAUAUAUUUGUGAGGUUGAAGAAAGGAAAUAAAAAUAUUUGUGAGGUUGUGAUGAUUAAAUCAUAUUGAAAUUAAAUAUAUAAGUGAUAAAAAGAUAAUAAAAUUCCUUAAAAAAAGAUAAUAAAAUUAAAUGGGUCCUCUUUCAAAAAAAAAAAUGGACCAGUUCUAAAAAAUAAAAUAAAAUGAAAGAAAAAUGCAAAUUGAAAUAUAAUAUUAAAAAAUAAAUGAAAAGGUUGUCAGCGCGAGUUGAAGAGAGGCACUUGUGAAAUAAAUUGCCGAGAAGUAGUUUUUUGAAGUAGCAUUCAACAACUUUUGGUCAAAGCUCAUUCCAUUUAAUUUUAUGCAUUCUAAAAAAAGUACUUUUUUUAGAAGGUACUUUAUUGAUAUUGUGUUUGGUCUAACUUCUUCUUAAAAAUGAAGAGAAGCUGAAAAAAAGCCGGACCAAAUGGUAUCUAAUAAUUCAUACCCACAAACAUAGAUUAUGAGGAAAUUGAGAACUAAAGAUUAUUACCAUCCAUCUAGGAGAACUUUAUAACAUCACACUCAUAUUAGUAUGAUAUUUUCUUGUGCCUAGAAUGAAAUUCACAACUUAUACGUAUGCCCUAACAUCAACAAAUCAUCCAGAGUUAUUGGCAUUUUCACACCAAAUAGUAAUCACCUCAUAAACUGGGUUAACAAACCCCACACGCCAUCCAAUUCAUGUAAUAUAUUCAUUAGCAUGUUAAAAACCUAUAUAUGAUGCAUGUUUCACAACAUAAAAUCCAAAAAAUAUCAUCAUAUAAUUAUUAUAUAAAAAAUGUUAAUAUCACCCAUGCCUUUCUUGAGGCAGGUGGCCUGUCUUAAUAAUAUAUAUCACAAAAAUAUACACAAAACAUACAUAUGGAAGAUCAACCUUCUAAUUAGUUAAAAACAUGAAUUUAAAUCUUAAACUAACAACUUAUAUUUUAAUGCCCAUUAAAAUAUGAAGUAAGUGUUCUAUUAUUUUUCUAAUUAAGUCAUUUAAAAUUUCGUUCAUCACUCAAAAAAAGUUAGAACGCGACAGAUGUUCUAGGGAUUUUCUAACCUAAUAAUCGAGUUUUUUGGUCAUUUUCUUCAACCAUAAUUACCUAUUGUUUCGUUAUUUAUUUAUACCCUUGAGUUUUAAAUAAUUCAUUUUGUUGUUGUUUUGGACGCCUACUUAUAUAUAUAGAUACACACAUCUUGUGUUAAUGAAAACAAUGUUAUUAAAGAAUUAUAUAUGUGUACCUACACUUCUUGGAAACUAUAUGGUAUAUAAAGAGACAAUAUUUGAUAUUUGAGUCUUUGUUAUGAAGAAUUUUUUUAAGUUUUUAUAACUUUGUUUUUAUAUUUAUUUUAAACUACAAAUUAUAUAGACUUGUUCAAAGGGAUUGCCGGCUUGUUUGGGUAACUAGUUUGUACUUGUAAAAUCAAUAUUAUUUCCUAAUAUUUCUUGUUUUGAAGUAUUUGACUAUGUGUUGUUGUUAUCAAAUCUGUCAAUUUGCCCGUGUGGCAUUCUUAGGUGCAAUACACAUUUGGGAUGAAUAGAGUAAAUAUAUUUUCAUUUAAUAUCUAGAGGGUGACCUAAGUCCUACUAGUGAUGAAAUAACUAACGAUAUAAAUUUCAGUUUGUAAAUCUUCAUAUUUCACUUAGAGAGAGAUAUGUGUUCAUUAUAUAUAUGGCUGAUAAUAUGAUUGAUCAUAAUAUAAUUUAGUAACGAAUGUGUGGUUGAUUUUUUGUGUUUACUUACUUCCAUCCCAUUAAAAAAAAAUAUUUAACAUGUUUCUAAUAAUAUUAAAGAUAUUUUAGGUUCGGAGAAAUAUAUGUAAGUUUUAGACAAAUUAUAAGAGUAACAACAUUAUAACAAGAAAAGAAAAUAAAAUUAUUAGAUUUACUAGAUAAAUAAAUUUUACCUUUGUAUAAACUCAUACAAUAACCAGUGUUGUUGCAAAACAUAGGUUUUUUAUUACCCGGAUAUAGGUUUUCACAAUCGGCAUCAGUAACACAUUCUUCUGUAAUAUAAAAUAAGAAUAAAGAAAUAUUAUUAAAAAUGAUUGAAAGAUUCUGAAUGGGAUUAAAAACUGAGAAUGGCUUACUUCCACUAGCUUCCGCAAUAAGCAAUAAGGAAACACAAAGUAUCAUAAUAUAAACAAACUUAAUA